GUACGGCAGCUCAAUGAGUUUGUAUCACUGUGGUGCACGUUCGGUGGAGGAACCAGACUGGAUGUUGGAAGUGAUGUCCGUCCCACCCUGACGGUGCUGCCCCCCUCCAGUGAGGAGCUGCAGCAGGGGAAGGCCACGCUCAUGUGUCUGGCCAACAAGGGCUUCCCCUCAGACUGGAGUCUGUCCUGGAAGGUGGACGGCAGCAGCAGCAGCAGCAGCUGGGAGGAGAGCAGGAGCCCCGGGGUGCUGAAGGACGGCCACUACAGCUGGAGCAGCACCCUGAGGCUCUCUGCAGACCACUGGAGGAAGGUGGGCUCUGUGACCUGUGAGGCCACCCAGGGCUCCCAGACUCCGCUCUCAGAGACACUGAGGAGAGACCAGUGUUCCCAGUUCUGACCUGACUCACUGGGACUCUGAUACUGGUUUUACUCUGCUACUGCUCUCAGUCUGUACUGUGCAAGACUCUCUCUCUCUCUCUCUCUCUCUCUCUCUCUCUCUCGCUUGUUUUUCAGUUGAUUGUGUCAAAAUUUAAAAAUAAAUAAAAUGUUAUCAGAUCAA
Dicentrarchus labrax (European seabass) is the source of this 558-nucleotide non-coding RNA. The record is from the annotation of a RefSeq genome assembly. Lineage: Eukaryota; Metazoa; Chordata; Actinopteri; Moronidae.